CAACGGUGAUGCCGGAAUCUCCUUCCUUGAUUGUACAAUGUACACAAGGUAUGUUUUCAGUUUGACUAACACUUAUUCAGAUGUUGCCUUGUUAGCCAUUUUGUUACUGGAUCUUUUAGCAUAAUCAGUUGUCAUAUAAUUCUAGUUUAUAUCAGAAUAAUCAGUUGUCAUAUUUUCCUAAUCCUUUAUGUUUGAACUUUUAAGCUUAAGUAAAAUGAAUUUCUAUCCUACCAUAAUAUGUUCAAUAUCAGAGACCUUUAGGGGGUCUUUCCUCAAGUGGCACGAACCGAGACAUGUGAUGAUAUUCUUCAACAGGUCAUUUUUCUAUUUGGUUAUACCGGGUUAGUGUAUAACUAUUUUGAUUUGGUGACUAUUUUGAUUUAUUUCUCAUUUAGUUUCAUUUGGAUUUGUGGGUUUCGUGCAGGUUGAUGACCCUCGACUUAUUCAAAGAAUUUCAAUUGCAGCAUCAGGCAGGCGGUAGCUACAAAGACUAAGACGCCUCAUGAUGCAUGUGAUAGACUGAUGUGGUACAAGAGAAGCAAAGAUUGAUUGAUUUUGCAGAAGCACUUCGUAGUAAUGUAGUAUCACUCAUAGUUUUCUUAUAAGUGGGUGUUCAAUGAUCCCACAACAUUAACAGAGGAGGAGCUGUAUGAUUUGCGAAACCGCUGGGCAACUUGUUUCCUUGACCUAUAUAAUCUUGAGGUAGAUUAUGAUGAUGCCGAUGAGAAAGCUUAGGAGCUAGCUAGGUUUGUGUGAAGUUACAAUGAAUUAGUAUUAAUUAUGAUGAUGUUUUGAUUUGUAUUUUGGAUGGAUUAGUAUUAAUUAUGAUGAUGUUUUGAUUUGUAUUUUGGAUUUCAAUGAUUGUACUUCAAUGACAUUAUUACUAUAUAUAUGUUGAAUGUUGAAUUUG
Molecule: long non-coding RNA, 910 nt
Organism: Trifolium pratense (red clover)
Lineage: Eukaryota; Viridiplantae; Streptophyta; Magnoliopsida; Fabales; Fabaceae
Exons: 3
Source: RefSeq, a predicted model, not a curated record